UCUUUUUUGCUUAUGAUAAUAAGUUGAUUCUGCCCAAUGAAAAUUUAAUGGCUGCAGUAUUUUGACUGUACUAAGGUAGCAUAAUAAUUAGGUUCUUAAAUGGUAUCUGGAAUGAAGGAUUUGACGAGGUGAGUUCUGUCUCAAGAUUUAAAUUUUGAAUUUUAUUUUUAAGUUAAAAAGCUUAAAUUAAAAAUAAAGACGAGAAGACCCUAUAGAGUUUAACUGUUUAAAUGUGAAAGUUUUAUUAGGUCUAUUAAGCUUAAUGUUAAGGAGUUUAGCUGGGGUGGCUGUAAAAUUUUAAAAACUUAUACUUUUAAUAACAUUAAUUUAUGAUUAUUAGAUCCUUUUUGGAUAGCAAGAUUAAAUUACCUUAGGGAUAACAGCGUUAUUUUUCUUUAGAGAUCUAAUCGAAAGAAAAGAUUGCGACCUCGAUGUUGGAUUAAGUUUACUUGUUGGCGCAGGUGCUGAUAUAAGUUAGUCUGUUCGACUAUUAAAAACUUACAUGAUCUGAGUUUAGACCGGCGUGAGCCAGGUUGGUUUCUAUCUUAUGUUAAUAAAUUUAAGGCAGUACGAAAGGGCCCCUUAAGAUAAAUAGUUUGGUGUGUUGAUGAAUACCUAAA
This 620-nucleotide ribosomal RNA is filed under the name Osoriinae sp. Its description in RNAcentral is "partial 16S large subunit ribosomal RNA". It matches the Rfam family "Bacterial large subunit ribosomal RNA", at positions 1830 to 2733 of the family's 2925-position model. The record is from RNAcentral. Lineage: Eukaryota; Metazoa; Arthropoda; Insecta; Coleoptera; Staphylinidae.